CGGUGUUUAACUGGCGUGAUGUGGGACGUCCUACCGGUGGGCUUAGCCUCGCGAGGGGCGGCCCAACUAAUAUCCCGUCGCGGUGCUCUUUACUGAGUGUCGAGUCGGGCCGGUACGUUUACUUUGAACAAAUUAGAGUGCUUAAAGCAGGCUAUCCUCCGCCUGAAUACUGCGUGCAUGGGAAUAAUGGAAUAGGACCUCGGUUCUUAUUUGUUGGUUUUCGCAACCCCGAGUAAUGAUUAUAGGGACAGAUGAGGGCAUUCGUAUUGCGACGUUAGAGGUGAAAUUCUUGGAUCGUCGCAAGACGGACAGAAGCGAAAGCAUUUGCCAAACAUGUUUUCAUUAAUCAAGAACGAAAGUUAGAGGUUCGAAGGCGAUCAGAUACCGCCCUAGUUCUAACCAUAAACGAUGCCAGCUAGCGAUCCGCCGAAGUUCCUCCGAUGACUCGGCGGGCAGCUUCCGGGAAACCAAAGCUUUUGGGUUCCGGGGGAAGUAUGGUUGCAAAGCUGAAACUUAAAGGAAUUGACGGAAGGGCACCACCAGGAGUGGAGCCUGCGGCUUAAUUUGACUCAACACGGGAAACCUCACCAGGCCCAGACACCGGAAGGAUUGACAGAUUGAUAGCUCUUUCUUGAUUCGGUGGGUGGUGGUGCAUGGCCGUUCUUAGUUGGUGGAGCGAUUUGUCUGGUUAAUUCCGAUAACGAACGAGACUCUAGCCUGCUAAAUAGGCGUACCUUAUGGUAUCGCGAAGGCCCCCGGCUUCGGCCGGUGGGUUUUUACUACCAACGUACAAACAAAUCUUCUUAGAGGGACAGGCGG
RNAcentral lists this ribosomal RNA (819 nucleotides) under uncultured eukaryote. Its description in RNAcentral is "SSU rRNA". It matches the Rfam family "Eukaryotic small subunit ribosomal RNA", at positions 629 to 1426 of the family's 1831-position model. The record is from RNAcentral.